UAGCUUGCUCCCUGAUGUUAGCGGCGGACGGGUGAGUAACACGUGGGUAACCUGCCUGUAAGACUGGGAUAACUCCGGGAAACCGGGGCUAAUACCGGAUGCUUGUUUGAACCGCAUGGUUCAAACAUAAAAGGUGGCUUCGGCUACCACUUACAGAUGGACCCGCGGCGCAUUAGCUAGUUGGUGAGGUAAUGGCUCACCAAGGCAACGAUGCGUAGCCGACCUGAGAGGGUGAUCGGCCACACUGGGACUGAGACACGGCCCAGACUCCUACGGGAGGCAGCAGUAGGGAAUCUUCCGCAAUGGACGAAAGUCUGACGGAGCAACGCCGCGUGAGUGAUGAAGGUUUUCGGAUCGUAAAGCUCUGUUGUUAGGGAAGAACAAGUGCCGUUCAAAUAGGGCGGCACCUUGACGGUACCUAACCAGAAAGCCACGGCUAACUACGGCCAGCAGCCGCGGAAAUGUCGUAACGGCAG
RNAcentral lists this ribosomal RNA (476 nucleotides) under Bacillus atrophaeus. Its description in RNAcentral is "bacterial SSU rRNA". It matches the Rfam family "Bacterial small subunit ribosomal RNA", at positions 76 to 537 of the family's 1533-position model. Lineage: Bacteria; Bacillati; Bacillota; Bacilli; Caryophanales; Bacillaceae. The record is from RNAcentral.